Long non-coding RNA from Salarias fasciatus (jewelled blenny), 659 nucleotides. RefSeq lists it as uncharacterized. The transcript is spliced from 3 exons. The record is from RefSeq and is a predicted model, not a curated record. NCBI's taxonomy places the organism in Eukaryota, Metazoa, Chordata, Actinopteri, Blenniiformes, Blenniidae.
AAAAAUUCGUGCCAUUGAGCAAGUUUCACAGGGCUGCCGCUGACUCGCUGCAGGACACAUAAAAUCUGAUCAAGUUCAGAGACGCGCUGAGUGCUUCAAGCGGCGCUUUUUAACUCCAAGCCUUUCACAUCCUUUCCCCCUCAAUCUGUCCCAGGAAGGAGCUCACAUUCUUUAUUUUAAGGGAUCUGGACCCCCCAAAAAAAAAGAAAAAAGAAAAAAAAAGAAAAAGAAAAAAAAAUCAAAUCAGUCCUUCAUUCUGCUCUCGCCCUCAUCCCAUCGCAUUCACUCUCAGAACAUUUCGUGGAGAAAGAGUUAUAGAUUGACAAGCUCCUGGCUAUCUUCACCCUCUAUGGCUCCUUCAUGAUGGCCCCCUAAUCUCUGCAACUGUGGUUCCAUGUAUGCAUUGCGAGGCGGCUGCGUAAUCAAGCCUGUGAACUCCACAUCUGACGGACGGAUUCCGUUUCUGAUCACAUCCCCCCCCAUUGAAGUCCAUCCAUUCGCGGAGCGUGGAUGUGUCGAUGCGCUGGAGCUCGCGUUCCUUGGUAUGUGGCUUUCAAAUGAAUACGCACUGCGUGGUUUUUCGGCUGUGUUGGAGCGUUUGUGGCGCCGCACGGCCAAGUCUCGCUGCUAAACUUCCACGAGAUCACCCCGGGGCCCAA